Molecule: ribosomal RNA, 806 nt
Filed under: Nocardioidaceae bacterium
Lineage: Bacteria; Bacillati; Actinomycetota; Actinomycetes; Propionibacteriales; Nocardioidaceae
Description: bacterial SSU rRNA
Rfam family: Bacterial small subunit ribosomal RNA
Source: RNAcentral
CUUACCAUGCAAGUCGAGCGGUAAGGCUCCUUCGGGAGUACACGAGCGGCGAACGGGUGAGUAACACGUGAGCAAUCUGCCCUUCACUUUGGGAUAACUCCGGGAAACCGGUGCUAAUACCGAAUACGACCACCUCGGGCAUCCGAUGGUGGUGGAAAGUUCCGGCGGUGAAGGAUGAGCUCGCGGCCUAUCAGCUUGUUGGUGAGGUAACGGCCCACCAAGGCAACGACGGGUAGCCGGCCUGAGAGGGUGACCGGCCACACUGGGACUGAGACACGGCCCAGACUCCUACGGGAGGCAGCAGUGGGGAAUAUUGGACAAUGGGCGAAAGCCUGAUCCAGCAACGCCGCGUGAGGGAUGACGGCCUUCGGGUUGUAAACCUCUUUCAGUACCGACGAAGCGCAAGUGACGGUAGGUACAGAAGAAGCACCGGCCAACUACGUGCCAGCAGCCGCGGUAAUACGUAGGGUGCGAGCGUUGUCCGGAAUUAUUGGGCGUAAAGGGCUCGUAGGCGGUUUGUCGCGUCGAAAGUGAAAACUCAGGGCUUAACCCUGAGCCUGCUUCCGAUACGGGCAGACUAGAGGUAUGCAGGGGAGAACGGAAUUCCUGGUGUAGCGGUGAAAUGCGCAGAUAUCAGGAGGAACACCGGUGGCGAAGGCGGUUCUCUGGGCAUUACCUGACGCUGAGGAGCGAAAGUGUGGGGAGCGAACAGGAUUAGAUACCCUGGUAGUCCACACCGUAAACGUUGGGCGCUAGGUGUGGGACUCAUUCCACGAGUUCCGUGCCGCAGCUAACGCAUUAAGCGC